RNAcentral lists this ribosomal RNA (513 nucleotides) under uncultured marine eukaryote. RNAcentral's name for it is "SSU rRNA". It matches the Rfam family "Eukaryotic small subunit ribosomal RNA", at positions 662 to 1172 of the family's 1831-position model. The record is from RNAcentral.
GUUAACUUUGUAGUUUUACUGCUUUAUAGGCUGUGCUUUUGCUGGAGGUUUAGGGGUGCUCUUGAUCGAGUGUCUCUGGAUGCCAGCAGGUUUACUUUGAAAAAAUUAGAGUGCUCAAAGCAGGCUAAAAUGCCUGAAUAUUCGUGCAUGGAAUAAUAGAAUAGGAUGUCGAUCCUAUUUUGUUGGUUUUCGGGACUCGACAUAAUGAUAAAUAGGGACAGUCGGGGGCAUUUGUAUUCAAACGACAGAGGUGAAAUUCUUGGACCGUUUGAAGACAAACUACUGCGAAAGCAUUUGCCAAGAAUGUUUUCAUUAAUCAAGAACGAAAGUUAGAGGUUCGAAGGCGAUUAGAUACCGCCCUAGUUCUAACCAUAAACGAUGCCAGCUAGCGAUCUGCCUGCGUUUUUACUGUAGACUGGGCAGGAAGCUUCCGGGAAACCAAAGCAUUUGGGUUCCAGGGGAAGUAUGGUUGCAAAGCUGAAACUUAAAGGAAUUGACGGAAGGGCACCACCA